This is a small nuclear RNA of Hyaena hyaena (striped hyena), 104 nucleotides long. The record is from RefSeq and is a predicted model, not a curated record. NCBI's taxonomy places the organism in Eukaryota, Metazoa, Chordata, Mammalia, Carnivora, Hyaenidae.
GCGCUGACUUCAGCAGCACAUGCACUAAAAUUGAAACAAUACAGAGAUUAGCAUGGCCCCUGCUCAAGGAUGUCACGCAAAUUUGUGAAGUGUUCCAUAUUUUU